CCGCACGGGUGAGUAACACGUAUCCAACCUGCCGUCUACUCUUGGACAGCCCUCUGAAAGGAAGAUUAAUACAAGAUGGCAUCAUGAGUCCACAUGUUCACAUGAUUAAAGGUAUUCCGGUAGACGAUGGGGAUGCGUUCCAUUAGAUAGUAGGCGGGGUAACGGCCCACCUAGUCUUCGAUGGAUAGGGGUUCUGAGAGGAAGGUCCCCCACAUUGGAACUGAGACACGGUCCAA
This 236-nucleotide ribosomal RNA is filed under the name uncultured bacterium. RNAcentral's name for it is "partial 16S ribosomal RNA". It matches the Rfam family "Bacterial small subunit ribosomal RNA", at positions 98 to 334 of the family's 1533-position model. The record is from RNAcentral.